RNAcentral lists this ribosomal RNA (468 nucleotides) under Lysinibacillus sp. RNAcentral describes it as "bacterial SSU rRNA". It matches the Rfam family "Bacterial small subunit ribosomal RNA", at positions 217 to 697 of the family's 1533-position model. The record is from RNAcentral. Lineage: Bacteria; Bacillati; Bacillota; Bacilli; Caryophanales; Bacillaceae.
GCUAUAAGAUGGGCCCGCGGCGCAUUAGCUAGUUGGUGAGGUAACGGCUCACCAAGGCGACGAUGCGUAGCCGACCUGAGAGGGUGAUCGGCCACACUGGGACUGAGACACGGCCCAGACUCCUACGGGAGGCAGCAGUAGGGAAUCUUCCACAAUGGGCGAAAGCCUGAUGGAGCAACGCCGCGUGAGUGAAGAAGGUUUUCGGAUCGUAAAACUCUGUUGUAAGGGAAGAACAAGUACUAUUGACGGUACCUUAUUAGAAAGCCACGGCUAACUACGUGCCAGCAGCCGCGGUAAUACGUAGGUGGCAAGCGUUGUCCGGAAUUAUUGGGCGUAAAGCGCGCGCAGGCGGUCCUUUAAGUCUGAUGUGAAAGCCCACGGCUCAACCGUGGAGGGUCAUUGGAAACUGGGGGACUUGAGUGCAGAAGAGGAAAGUGGAAUUCAUGUAGCGGUGAAAUGCGUAGAGAU